This is a long non-coding RNA of Cyprinodon tularosa, 212 nucleotides long. RefSeq lists it as uncharacterized. NCBI's taxonomy places the organism in Eukaryota, Metazoa, Chordata, Actinopteri, Cyprinodontiformes, Cyprinodontidae. The record is from RefSeq and is a predicted model, not a curated record. The transcript is spliced from 2 exons.
CUGGGCGGCAGGCAGUGCAUACAAACACACAUGCUGACACGCACACAAACAUCCUCAGUGAGCGUAAGUGAAACAAGUACUGGCUCCACUCAGCUGUGAGUUGACUGGCUCGCCGCUGUCUAUUUGCCGGUAUGCCGCAGAGAAAGAGGAGUUUCACCUUUGGAGCCUAUGGAGGGGUAGACAAGACCUUCUCCAAGGCAAGAAGUGUUUGG